AUUGAACGCUGGCGGCAGGCUUAACACAUGCAAGUCGAGCGAGCGGCGGACGGGUGAGUAAUGUCUGGGAAACUGCCUGAUGGAGGGGGAUAACUACUGGAAACGGUAGCUAAUACCGCAUACCAUCAGAUGUUCCCCGAUGGGAUUAACUAGUCGGUGGGGUAACGGCUCACCUAGGCGACUAUCCCUAGCUGGUCUGAGAGGAUGACCAGCCACACUGGAACUGAGACACGGUCCAGACUCCUACGGGAGGCAGCAGUGGGGAAUAUUGCACAAUGGGCGCAAGCCUGAUGCAGCCAUGCCGCGUGUAUGAAGAAGGCCUUCGGGUUGUAAAGCACUUUCAGCGAGGAGGCGUUACUCGCAGAAGAAGCACCGGCUAACUCCGUGCCAGCAGCCGCGGUAAUAC
RNAcentral lists this ribosomal RNA (406 nucleotides) under uncultured bacterium. Its description in RNAcentral is "partial 16S ribosomal RNA". It matches the Rfam family "Bacterial small subunit ribosomal RNA", at positions 30 to 526 of the family's 1533-position model. The record is from RNAcentral.